RNAcentral lists this ribosomal RNA (392 nucleotides) under uncultured bacterium. RNAcentral describes it as "partial 16S ribosomal RNA". It matches the Rfam family "Bacterial small subunit ribosomal RNA", at positions 523 to 918 of the family's 1533-position model. The record is from RNAcentral.
CUACGGAGGAUCCGAGCGUUAUCCGGAUUUAUUGGGUUUAAAGGGUGCGCAGGCGGCCAUUUAAGUCAGCGGUUAAAUCGUGGGGCUCAACCCCAUUCUGCCGUUGAUACUGGGUGGCUUGAUUGCGGUCGAGGUUGGCGGAAUUCGUUGUGUAGCGGUGAAAUGCAUAGAUAUGACGAAGAACACCGAUUGCGUAGGCAGCUGACCAGAUCGCAAAUGACGCUCAUGCACGAAAGUGCGGGGAUCGAACAGGAUUAGAUACCCUGGUAGUCCGCACAGUAAACGAUGAAUACUUGUUUUCGGCGAUAUAAUGUCGGAGGCAAAGCGAAAGCGAUAAGUAUUCCACCUGGGGAGUACGUCGGCAACGGUGAAACUCAAAGAAAUUGACGGGG